This 253-nucleotide ribosomal RNA is filed under the name uncultured microorganism. RNAcentral's name for it is "partial 16S ribosomal RNA". It matches the Rfam family "Bacterial small subunit ribosomal RNA", at positions 524 to 776 of the family's 1533-position model. The record is from RNAcentral.
UACAGAGGGUGCAAGCGUUAAUCGGAAUUACUGGGCGUAAAGCGAGCGUAGGUGGCUUGAUAAGUCAGAUGUGAAAUCCCCGGGCUUAACCUGGGAACUGCAUCUGAUACUGUCAAGCUAGAGUAGGUGAGAGGAAGGUAGAAUUCCAGGUGUAGCGGUGAAAUGCGUAGAGAUCUGGAGGAAUACCGAUGGCGAAGGCAGCCUUCUGGCAUCAUACUGACACUGAGGCUCGAAAGCGUGGGUAGCAAACAGG